RNAcentral lists this ribosomal RNA (407 nucleotides) under uncultured bacterium. RNAcentral describes it as "bacterial SSU rRNA". It matches the Rfam family "Bacterial small subunit ribosomal RNA", at positions 355 to 776 of the family's 1533-position model. The record is from RNAcentral.
UGGGGAAUAUUGGGCAAUGGGCGAAAGCCUGACCCAGCAACGCCGCGUGAGGGAAGAAGGCCUUCGGGUUGUAAACCUCUGUCCUUGGUGACGAAAAAAAUGACGGUAGCCAAGGAGGAAGCCCCGGCUAACUACGUGCCAGCAGCCGCGGUAAUACGUAGGGGGCGAGCGUUGUCCGGAAUUACUGGGCGUAAAGGGUGCGUAGGUGGCCUUUUAAGUUGGAUGUGAAAUACCCGGGCUUAACUUGGGGGGUGCAUCUAAUACUGGAGGGCUAGAGUGCAGGAGAGGGAAGCGGAAUUCCUAGUGUAGCGGUGAAAUGCGUAGAUAUUAGGAGGAACACCAGUGGCGAAGGCGGCUUUCUGGACUGUAACUGACACUGAGGCACGAAAGCGUGGGGAGCAAACAGG